ACGGGUGAGUAACACGUGGGCAACCUGCCUGUAAGACUGGGAUAACUUCGGGAAACCGAAGCUAAUACCGGAUAGGAUCUUCUCCUUCAUGGGAGAUGAUUGAAAGAUGGUUUCGGCUAUCACUUACAGAUGGGCCCGCGGUGCAUUAGCUAGUUGGUGAGGUAACGGCUCACCAAGGCAACGAUGCAUAGCCGACCUGAGAGGGUGAUCGGCCACACUGGGACUGAGACACGGCCCAGACUCCUACGGGAGGCAGCAGUAGGGAAUCUUCCGCAAUGGACGAAAGUCUGACGGAGCAACGCCGCGUGAGUGAUGAAGGCUUUCGGGUCGUAAAACUCUGUUGUUAGGGAAGAACAAGUACGAGAGUAACUGCUCGUACCUUGACGGUACCUAACCAGAAAGCCACGGCUAACUACGUGCCAGCAGCCGCGGUAAUACGUAGGUGGCAAGCGUUAUCCGGAAUUAUUGGGCGUAAAGCGCGCGCAGGCGGUUUCUUAAGUCUGAUGUGAAAGCCCACGGCUCAACCGUGGAGGGUCAUUGGAAACUGGGGAACUUGAGUGCAGAAGAGAAAAGCGGAAUU
Molecule: ribosomal RNA, 580 nt
Filed under: Bacillus sp. TDB-074
Lineage: Bacteria; Bacillati; Bacillota; Bacilli; Caryophanales; Bacillaceae
Also listed under: 1 other name
Description: bacterial SSU rRNA
Rfam family: Bacterial small subunit ribosomal RNA
Source: RNAcentral